This 72-nucleotide transfer RNA is filed under the name Mycobacterium phage Wildcat. It matches the Rfam family "tRNA". From Rfam's summary of the family: Transfer RNA (tRNA) molecules are approximately 80 nucleotides in length. Their secondary structure includes four short double-helical elements and three loops (D, anti-codon, and T loops). Lineage: Duplodnaviria; Heunggongvirae; Uroviricota; Caudoviricetes; Vilmaviridae. The record is from Rfam by way of RNAcentral.
GGGGGCGUAGUAUAACGGCAAUUACUGUUGGCUCUUACCCUUCAGAUGGGAGUUCGACUCUCCCCGCCCUCA